Bufo bufo (common toad) is the source of this 211-nucleotide long non-coding RNA. RefSeq lists it as uncharacterized. The record is from RefSeq and is a predicted model, not a curated record. NCBI's taxonomy places the organism in Eukaryota, Metazoa, Chordata, Amphibia, Anura, Bufonidae. The transcript is spliced from 2 exons.
GCCCUUCAGCUACUGGCACCGUAGUGGCAGGACGCUGGAAGAGGGACUUAUGCUGGCGGGAUGCAGGGGAGCUAGGCUGCCCUGGUCCACCUUGCCUUCUGUGGGGUAGCCAGCAGUGCGGAUGACUGACACUGGCGCAGCUCGACCCCGGGAGAAACAGGGAGGUCUAGUGCGUCUCUGUUGUCCCUGAUGGUCUGGAACAAAAAGAAAA